This is a long non-coding RNA of Amblyraja radiata (thorny skate), 232 nucleotides long. RefSeq lists it as uncharacterized. The transcript has 3 exons. Lineage: Eukaryota; Metazoa; Chordata; Chondrichthyes; Rajiformes; Rajidae. The record is from RefSeq and is a predicted model, not a curated record.
UAAAAUACAGAGACUGGGGCUGUGGGCUGUUGGUCUCACAGAUUCAGGAGCCGAUGAUGUCGCCUCCGCUCUCAGCACAAACCGCUCACUGACGGAGCUGAAACUGGGAAACAAUGAACUGGGAGACUCUGGAGUGAAACUGGUGUCAGCGGGUGUUAGGAACUCGGACUGUGAAAUACAGCGACUGUGGCUGGACAGUAUCAAUCUCACAGAUUCUGGACUCCACGAUCUA